This 500-nucleotide unclassified non-coding RNA is filed under the name uncultured Ambispora. Its description in RNAcentral is "SSU rRNA". It matches the Rfam family "Eukaryotic small subunit ribosomal RNA", at positions 591 to 1092 of the family's 1831-position model. Lineage: Eukaryota; Fungi; Glomeromycota; Glomeromycetes; Archaeosporales; Ambisporaceae. The record is from RNAcentral.
CCAAUAGCGUAUAUUAAAGUUGUUGCAGUUAAAAAGCUCGUAGUUGAAUUUUGGGUCUGGCCGGGCGGUCCGCCCUCUGGGUGAGCACUGUUCCGACGCCGGGCCUAUCCUUUUGGUGAGUCGGCAUGUCCUUUAUUGGGUGUGCCGGGGAACCAGGACCAUUACCUUGAAAAAAUUAGAGUGUUCAAAGCAGGCGUAUGCUCGGAUACAUUAGCAUGGAAUAAUGAAAUAGGACGCGUGGUGCUAUUUUGUUGGUUUCGAAAACCGCCGUAAUGAUUAAUAGGGAUAGUUGGGGGCAUUAGUAUUCAAUUGUCAGAGGUGAAAUUCUUGGAUUUAUUGAAGACUAACUUCUGCGAAAGCAAUUGCCAAGGAUGUUUUCAUUAAUCAAGAACGAAAGUUAGGGGAUCGAAGACGAUCAGAUACCGUCGUAGUCUUAACCAUAAACUAUGCCGACUAGGAAUCGGGCGAUGUUAUUCUCAUGACUCGCCCGGCGCCUUAUG